CUGGGUUCAGAACGUCGUGAGACAGUUCGGUCCCUAUCCUAUGCGGGCGCAGGAUACUUGAGAAGAGUCGCUUCUAGUACGAGAGGACCGAAGUGAACGUAUCUCUAGUGAAUCAAUUGUUACGCCAGUAGCAUUGUUGAGUAGCUAUAUACGGAUGUGAUAAGCGCUGAAAGCAUCUAAGUGCGAAGCACACUUCAAGAUGAGGUAUCCCGUCGCAAGACCUAAAGACUCCUAGGAGAUUACUAGGUUGAUAGGUUACAGAUGUAAGCAUAGUAAUAUGUUUAGUCGAGUAAUACUAAUAAGUCGUGCGACUUAGCCAUUAUUUUUU
Molecule: ribosomal RNA, 328 nt
Filed under: Ignavibacteriales bacterium
Lineage: Bacteria; Pseudomonadati; Ignavibacteriota; Ignavibacteria; Ignavibacteriales
Description: partial 23S ribosomal RNA
Rfam family: Bacterial large subunit ribosomal RNA
Source: RNAcentral